This 512-nucleotide ribosomal RNA is filed under the name uncultured bacterium. RNAcentral describes it as "partial 16S ribosomal RNA". It matches the Rfam family "Bacterial small subunit ribosomal RNA", at positions 28 to 523 of the family's 1533-position model. The record is from RNAcentral.
GACGAACGCUGGCGGCGUGCCUAAUACAUGCAAGUCGAGCGGACUUUUGGGAGCUUGCUCCCAAAAGUUAGCGGCGGACGGGUGAGUAACACGUGGGCAACCUGCCUAUAAGACUGGGAUAACUUCGGGAAACCGGAGCUAAUACCGGAUAAUUCCUUUCCUCUCAGGAGGGAAGGCUGAAAGUCGGUUUCGGCUGUCACUUAUAGAUUGGCCCGCGGCGCAUCAGCUAGUUGGUGAGGUAACGGCUCACCAAGGCGAAGAUGCGUAGCCGACCUGAGAGGGUGAUCGGCCACACUGGGACUGAGACACGGCCCAGACUCCUACGGGAGGCAGCAGUAGGGAAUCUUCCGCAAUGGACGGAAGUCUGACGGAGCAACGCCGCGUGAGUGAUGAAGGUUUUCGGAUCGUAAAACUCUGUUGUCAGGGAAGAACAAGUACGAGAGUAACUGCUCGUACCUUGACGGUACCUAACCAGAAAGCCACGGCUAACUACGUGCCAGCAGCCGCCGUAA